Long non-coding RNA from Poecilia latipinna (sailfin molly), 213 nucleotides. RefSeq lists it as uncharacterized. The transcript is spliced from 4 exons. NCBI's taxonomy places the organism in Eukaryota, Metazoa, Chordata, Actinopteri, Cyprinodontiformes, Poeciliidae. The record is from RefSeq and is a predicted model, not a curated record.
UCUUGAUUUUUAAGAAUGUCAUCUGGCUGAAGCAUUCAGUUUGAACAAAAACUAGAGCAACAGAAAAGUGAUACGACUGUAACUCCAAUUGAACAAAUGGCUUUCGCUUCUCUUCAGUCGCAUAAUGAGAUAAGAUGUAUGUUAGAACAAGCAGAAGAAAACCUGACCUUCCUCAACAAACGACUUGAAACUGUGGAAGACAAACAACAACAG